Molecule: long non-coding RNA, 451 nt
Organism: Saccostrea cuccullata (small rock oyster)
Lineage: Eukaryota; Metazoa; Mollusca; Bivalvia; Ostreida; Ostreidae
Exons: 6
Source: RefSeq, a predicted model, not a curated record
CUUUAAAGUGUCAAAACAGCACCUCUCGAUUUUGUAAACAUGUUUCCACGUGGAAGGGAGUAGUUGUGAUAGUCAAGAUUAACCCACAUACAUUGAUUUAGUAAACAAAAACACUCGUAAAGUACAUUUUGAACAGCCAUCUCAAGGAUAUACUCUGAAGACAGUGAUGUGCAAGUUCAAGGUUUGCCUGUUCAGAUACUUUAAUAAUAAAGAAUGGGUGAAAAAAUUCUCACGUUAUUAUGCUGCAUAAUAGUACAUUUCAGCUGUAACAAAACAAAUUAUCUGAUGAAAGCUUCAACCACGAGAAUCUAGGAAAGGAUGUCAAGUCCAAAGAGAAGGCCAUAUAACAAAUGGUUGCUGAAUUCAUGAAGACUAGCUGGGAUGAUACAGUACUUUUCUACUCAUAUGAACCAUAUCUAAACAUCAUUUGAGGAUCCCUUCUCAGAAAAAA